GUAGAAGGCAAAUGUGAAUGUGCUAUGAAAUUAUUAUUUACUUAAAAGCAGAAUAUACAGUAAUCUGUGAUUCAUAGAAAUCGUUAAGCGAAUGAUGCGUUUUAUCCUUUUUAAUUACCUGCUAGUUAGUAUACUCUCGGCAAAGCGAAGGGAGAGGAGAACGACUUACCACACCUCGUUUCAGUCCUCGACGACGAUUGGUUCUGGCAGAUCCCGGAGGAUGGAGAUAGAGAAGGUAGCAUAGAAACGAAGGCGGUAGAAAAUGUUGCGGGGUGCCUUCAAAGAAGAGAAGAGGCGACGACGAAGGAGUGACAAAGACAAUCAUUCGCCCUUGAGAUGCAAGGGGCUGAGACGACUCGUGAAACACCAUCAUCAAGCAUUCAUAAG
RNAcentral lists this unclassified non-coding RNA (387 nucleotides) under Bombus terrestris (buff-tailed bumblebee). RNAcentral describes it as "misc RNA ENSBTSG00005036744.1". Lineage: Eukaryota; Metazoa; Arthropoda; Insecta; Hymenoptera; Apidae. The record is from RNAcentral.